Molecule: transfer RNA, 64 nt
Filed under: Lepisosteus oculatus (spotted gar)
Lineage: Eukaryota; Metazoa; Chordata; Actinopteri; Semionotiformes; Lepisosteidae
Rfam family: tRNA
About the family: Transfer RNA (tRNA) molecules are approximately 80 nucleotides in length.
Source: Rfam by way of RNAcentral
GGUGGCCAAGUGGUAAGGUGUUGGUCUCGUAAACUGAAGAUCACGGGUUCGAACCCCGUCACCU